UUCUUGGUGGUCCAACGGCUAAGACACGCGCCUGUCAUUCAGUUCGAAUUUCGAGCUCCGACCGCGCGUAACCCGGGUUCGACUCCCGGCCAGGAAG
Transfer RNA from Exidia glandulosa HHB12029, 97 nucleotides. It matches the Rfam family "tRNA". Rfam says of the family: Transfer RNA (tRNA) molecules are approximately 80 nucleotides in length. Their secondary structure includes four short double-helical elements and three loops (D, anti-codon, and T loops). Further hydrogen bonds mediate the characteristic L-shaped molecular structure. tRNAs have two regions of fundamental functional importance: the anti-codon, which is responsible for specific mRNA codon recognition, and the 3' end, to which the tRNAs corresponding amino acid is attached (by aminoacyl-tRNA synthetases). tRNAs cope with the degeneracy of the genetic code in two manners: having more than one tRNA (with a specific anti-codon) for a particular amino acid; and 'wobble' base-pairing, i.e. permitting non-standard base-pairing at the 3rd anti-codon position. Lineage: Eukaryota; Fungi; Basidiomycota; Agaricomycetes; Auriculariales; Exidiaceae. The record is from Rfam.